Molecule: unclassified non-coding RNA, 871 nt
Filed under: Leishmania donovani
Lineage: Eukaryota; Euglenozoa; Kinetoplastea; Trypanosomatida; Trypanosomatidae
Description: gene:LdHU3.21.2600(CDS-product:60S_ribosomal_prot ein_L37a)
Source: RNAcentral
GUUUACUACGAAGCAAGAUGGCAAAGCGCACAGUGAAGAUGGGCGUGAUGGGCCGCUAUGGCACCCGUUACGGCGCAAACCCGCGUAAGCGCGCGAAGAAGCUUGAAGUGUCCCAGCACGCCAAACACUUCUGUUCCUUCUGCGGUAAGUUUGCAUUCCGCCGCAAAGCUGUCGGCAUCUGGCGUUGCGACGGCUGCAGCAAGACGGUUGCCGGUGGUGCGUACACCCUGAGCACGCCGAACAACAGCACCGUCCGCUCCACGGUUCGCCGUCUGCGCGAGCUGGCCAAGAUUUAAAGUCGUAGGCCGAUGCUCAUAUCUUCCCCUUUUUUCACGGUGCCGUUCCUUUUCUUCUUUCAUUUCUUCCCUUCCGAGACAACAAAUAAACGCAACACAUAGAAGUAUAGACAGGAACUGCGCCAAGCUGUGUAUUGCCCUUCUCCCCCCUCCCACAACGACACAGUGUGUGCGCUGUUCAUGGACGCUUCAUGUGAGGAGGAACGCGACGAGAGACGGACAGGGAUGGAGAGCCGCGCUGAACACGCAAAGCGCCCGCCCACAGGGACACAAACAGAGGCACAGAUGGCCCGCUACUGGCUUCCUUUUCGCCGCCAAGAGGGCGCUGUGCAUGCGCACGUGUGGGGUGGCGGUGGCCCAAUAGCACAAGCGUGCCGCUGUGUAUCUGUGCAUGACACAGACAUGCAAGCAUCUUGCUGCUCCGGCUCCUUUUCUCGUCUGAGUGUCGGUCGUUUUUUCUGUCUCUCGUACGCCACCUUGAUCUUUCUCCAUCCUUCCCCCUCUUUAUCUCUCGCCAUCUCUGUGCCCCCGCUUGUGCGAACUGCCGGUGUGCGAAACCCCCCUCCCCCAAGAAG